This 329-nucleotide ribosomal RNA is filed under the name uncultured eukaryote. RNAcentral describes it as "partial 18S ribosomal RNA". It matches the Rfam family "Eukaryotic small subunit ribosomal RNA", at positions 1470 to 1796 of the family's 1831-position model. The record is from RNAcentral.
CCCUUAGAUGUCCUGGGCCGCACGCGCGCUACACUGAGUGUCUGAGAUACGAGUCUGCCUGGUCCGGCAAGGUCUGGGUAAUCGCUAAAAGACACAUCAUGCUUGGGAUAGAUUAUUGCAAAUAUUAAUCUUGAACGAGGAAUUCCUAGUAAGCGCAAGUCAACAGCUUGCGUUGAUUACGUCCCUGCCCUUUGUACACACCGCCCGUCGCUACUACUGAUUGGAUGUUUAAGCGAGGUUCUCGAACUGCUAGCGACUUAGCUUCGGUGAGGUCGCAGUGUGGGAAGUGAACCUAGCUUUGGUGUCUAGAGGAAGUAAAAGUCGUAACA